ACGCGGAUUUCCUGAAAGGCUUUCUCAGGAAGUUCCUACCCGGGAUGCUAAGUGGGGCCCACCGUGAUGUUUUUAAUAAAUCCACUCCGUUCAUCUGUUUUUCCGGAUCAUUUUAUGACAAGAGACUAAAAAUCAGGUGGACCCAAAACUCAAAGCAGCCAUACAUAAGGAAAAACUAGGGAAAGAGUUUCCUACCGUUGAAAUCUUCAUGCGCUCCAUAUGCCAUCCAAACCGUUUCUAAGGGAUGAAGAUGCGCGAGUGGGCCUAGCAAUCGAGAGUGACGGAAGAGUCAACGAGGAACAUGGCAAUGGUCACAAUUCCAACUGCCCUACCACCAAAAAUUUGAAAGAGACUCGUUUGUUGGAAUGUAUUUGACUGAUUGCAUCAGCAUCACUCUCGUCCAUUCAUUGUAUCAGUCAUUUAUCAACCACCACAAUCUCUUCAUUUUGAAGGAGAGAUAUUUUAAAUUUUCAAAAUGAGAACUGAUCACGUACAGGACCCUGUACUAUUAUUUGUGGUA
Molecule: long non-coding RNA, 520 nt
Organism: Magnolia sinica
Lineage: Eukaryota; Viridiplantae; Streptophyta; Magnoliopsida; Magnoliales; Magnoliaceae
Exons: 2
Source: RefSeq, a predicted model, not a curated record